CCUACGGGUGGCAGCAGUGGGGGAUAUUGCACAAUGGGGGAAACCCUGAUGCAGCGACGCCGCGUGGGUGAAGAAGUAUUUCGGUAUGUAAAGCCCUAUCAGCAGGGAAGAAAGAAGACGGUACCUGACUAAGAAGCCCCGGCUAACUACGUGCCAGCAGCCGCGGUAAUACGUAGGGGGCGAGCGUUAUCCGGAUUCACUGGGUGUAAAGGGAGCGUAGACGGCCGUGCAAGCCAGGAGUGAAAGCCCGGGGCUCAACCCCGGGACUGCUCUUGGAACUGUGCGGCUGGAGUGCGGGAGGGGCAGGCGGAAUUCCUGGUGUAGCGGUGAAAUGCGUAGAUAUCAGGAGGAACACCGGCGGCGAAGGUGGCCUGCUGGACCGCGACUGACGUUGAGGCUCGAAAGCGUGGGGAGCGAACAGGAUUAGAUACCCCGGUAGUC
RNAcentral lists this ribosomal RNA (441 nucleotides) under uncultured bacterium. RNAcentral's name for it is "partial 16S ribosomal RNA". It matches the Rfam family "Bacterial small subunit ribosomal RNA", at positions 338 to 795 of the family's 1533-position model. The record is from RNAcentral.